Molecule: ribosomal RNA, 896 nt
Filed under: Subramaniula cuniculorum
Lineage: Eukaryota; Fungi; Ascomycota; Sordariomycetes; Sordariales; Chaetomiaceae
Description: LSU rRNA
Rfam family: Eukaryotic large subunit ribosomal RNA
Source: RNAcentral
GCAUAUCAAUAAGCGGAGGAAAAGAAACCAACAGGGAUUGCCCCAGUAACGGCGAGUGAAGCGGCAACAGCUCAAAUUUGAAAUCUGGCUUCGGCCCGAGUUGUAAUUUGCAGAGGAAGCUUUAGGCGCGGCACCAUCUGAGUCCCCUGGAACGGGGCGCCAUAGAGGGUGAGAGCCCCGUAUAGAUGGACGCUAAGCCUGUGUAAAGCUCCUUCGACGAGUCGAGUAGUUUGGGAAUGCUGCUCAAAAUGGGAGGUAAAUUUCUUCUAAAGCUAAAUAUUGGCCAGAGACCGAUAGCGCACAAGUAGAGUGAUCGAAAGAUGAAAAGCACUUUGAAAAGAGGGUUAAAUAGCACGUGAAAUUGUUGAAAGGGAAGCGCUUGUGACCAGACUUGCGCCUGGCUGAUCAUCCGGUGUUCUCACCGGUGCACUCUGCCAGGCUCAGGCCAGCAUCGGUUCUCGCGGGGGGAUAAAGGCCCUGGGAACGUAGCUCCUCCGGGAGUGUUAUAGCCCAGGGUGCAAUGCCCUCGCGGGGACCGAGGUUCGCGCAUCUGCAAGGAUGCUGGCGUAAUGGUCAUCAGCGACCCGUCUUGAAACACGGACCAAGGAGUCAAGGUUUUGCGCGAGUGUUUGGGUGUCAAACCCGCACGCGUAAUGAAAGUGAACGUAGGUGAGAGCUUCGGCGCAUCAUCGACCGAUCCUGAUGUUUUCGGAUGGAUUUGAGUAGGAGCGUUAAGCCUUGGACCCGAAAGAUGGUGAACUAUGCUUGGAUAGGGUGAAGCCAGAGGAAACUCUGGUGGAGGCUCGCAGCGGUUCUGACGUGCAAAUCGAUCGUCAAAUCUGAGCAUGGGGGCGAAAGACUAAUCGAACCAUCUAGUAGCUGGUUACCGCCGAAGU